RNAcentral lists this long non-coding RNA (857 nucleotides) under Ananas comosus (pineapple). RNAcentral describes it as "long non-coding RNA (ACOM_LNC013499)". The record is from RNAcentral. Lineage: Eukaryota; Viridiplantae; Streptophyta; Magnoliopsida; Poales; Bromeliaceae.
UGCGCCGUUGGAGGCCGGGCGAGCGCGUGAGUUCCGCUCCUUUCGUCUUCUCGCCGUUGUUGGACGAGCAUUUCGAGGUGGGUUGAAGUUUACCGAAAUCAUCGGAAUAUCUUCUAAGUUUUAUCAUCGUCGACAUGUAUCACCUAUGUAGUUCUUGCUAGUACUCGAAUUUCUGGAUUAGUGUUUAAAUCUGAAUUUUGGAGUUAAGCUAGUAGUUUAAUUGUACAUGUUGGAUUUGGAAUUGACUUAGGAGAAAACAUUUAGAACCUACACUGUCAUUUCUGAAAACUACCAGAUUUAGUUGUAGGAGCUGCAGUCUGUUAGUAUCGUCGCAAUUUGUAUGCGGUGGAUAUCCAGAUUAGUGUAGGAUGAGUUUACGCUCGAGUUGGAAUGCCGAGCUUAUUUUUCAGUAGUGUGUAGAUUGUUUCGGACUGUCGGGUGCCGUCGCGGUUGAUGGUGGACCCAGAUUUCUGUAUUUGCAUCAGAUUGUGCCGAGGGCACGUGAGCUUUGGUUGUUGGACCAGUUAGACCCAUUUGCUUUGAUUAUAGCCUGUGAGAGACUGAGUGAGCUCGGCAGAGACACGCUUGCAUACUCGGUUGGGUAGUGCCCACGAGUGUCACUUCAGAGUUGGGCUGUGUAUGUUUGCGUUGUUGUCGUUGUGUCCUGGUUGGACUCGCUCUCUACUGACGACCCUGCGUGGUGGUUGUUGGUGUAGCUUUGACAGGCAGGACGGGUGCGUUCACAGUCCCUAGUGAGAUUGGGUCAGAGAUUGUAUAUUUGUUUAUAUCUACAUAUAGCUAGUGUGGGUUAGCGAUAGUAUAGUGGCAUAUAGCUGUAGAGUUUUUCAGCUUCCUUU